UACGUAGGUCCCGAGCGUUGUCCGGAUUUAUUAGGCGUAAAGCGAGCGCAGGUGGUUUAUUAAGUCUGGUGUAAAAGGCAGUGGCUCAACCAUUGUAUGCAUUGGAAACUGGUAGACUUGAGUGCAGGAGAGGAGAGUGGAAUUCCAUGUGUAGCGGUGAAAUGCGUAGAUAUAUGGAGGAACACCGGUGGCGAAAGCGGCUCUCUGGUCUGUAACUGACGCUGAGGUUCGAAAGCGUGGGUAGCAAACAGG
This 252-nucleotide ribosomal RNA is filed under the name uncultured bacterium. RNAcentral's name for it is "partial 16S ribosomal RNA". It matches the Rfam family "Bacterial small subunit ribosomal RNA", at positions 524 to 776 of the family's 1533-position model. The record is from RNAcentral.